RNAcentral lists this ribosomal RNA (225 nucleotides) under uncultured Flavobacterium sp. RNAcentral's name for it is "partial 16S ribosomal RNA". It matches the Rfam family "Bacterial small subunit ribosomal RNA", at positions 568 to 792 of the family's 1533-position model. Lineage: Bacteria; Pseudomonadati; Bacteroidota; Flavobacteriia; Flavobacteriales; Flavobacteriaceae. The record is from RNAcentral.
UCCGUAGGCGGUCUUAUAAGUCAGUGGUGAAAUCUGGUCGCUCAACGAUCAAACUGCCAUUGAUACUGUAGGACUUGAAUUACUGUGAAGUAACUAGAAUAUGUAGUGUAGCGGUGAAAUGCUUAGAGAUUACAUGGAAUACCAAUUGCGAAGGCAGGUUACUAACAGUAUAUUGACGCUGAUGGACGAAAGCGUGGGGAGCGAACAGGAUUAGAUACCCUCGUA